AUCAACCAAACGGACCUCAACAGAAAAACACAGCAAGGCCAUAGCUGGCAAAUGCCAAAUUAGGCAUGGUUUUUAGCUUUUUCCGCGCCUUCAGCCUUUGCUUCACCAUUUUGGGCAAAGAAGUUAUUGUUCUUGUCUUCUUCCAUCAGAAAAAGCUUUCAACGGUAUUCAAGUUUGAAAUUCAAGUUGAAAACGAAAUUAAAAAGUGGGGCAUGUCGCACAUCGUUGGUUGACACAAGUUUGAACAUUUUUGGGUUCUAUAAAUAGAACCCAUUCCCUUCAUAUUCAAAGAGAGAGUUCAGAGGUCAAAAAAUUGGUCUUUACACCUCAAAUAGGUUUUUGACAAGCCCAAGAGUGAGAACACUCAGAAACCCUGCUACACCGUUGAGUUUUGAGAAGUUCUCGCUCAAGUUUAAUUUUUGGAAGUCGUUUCCUUUCGUCGAAAAUCGAUUCGGGUGAAAGGUAGUUCGUCGUCAACUCUCGUCGCCCCAUCACUGCUCUCAAAAAUGUAAUCCUCAACCCUUUUCCUUUAAAUUUCUGUCUUUAAAUCCGUAUUGGUGUGUUUUUAUUAUUGAGUAGUUAUUAAUGAGUGAUUACCGUGUUUGUGGUUUUUUUGUUUGGUGUUGUUAUAGGUUAGUUACUAUUAGUAAAUAUUGAUUCUAUUUAACUCUGGGCAUUAUAUACA
Molecule: long non-coding RNA, 685 nt
Organism: Lycium barbarum (goji berry)
Lineage: Eukaryota; Viridiplantae; Streptophyta; Magnoliopsida; Solanales; Solanaceae
Exons: 2
Source: RefSeq, a predicted model, not a curated record